Pteropus vampyrus (large flying fox) is the source of this 119-nucleotide ribosomal RNA. NCBI's taxonomy places the organism in Eukaryota, Metazoa, Chordata, Mammalia, Chiroptera, Pteropodidae. The record is from Ensembl.
GUCUACGACUGUGUCACCCUGAACAUGCCCGAUCUCGUCUGAUCUUGGAAGCUAAGCAGGGUUGAGCCUGGUUAGUACUUGGAUGGGAAACCACCUAGGAAUACCAGGUACUGUAGAUG